ACGCUGGCGGCAGGCCUAACACAUGCAAGUCGAGCGGAUGAAGGGAGCUUGCUCCCUGAUUCAGCGGCGGACGGGUGAGUAAUGCCUAGGAAUCUGCCUGGUAGUGGGGGACAACGUCUCGAAAGGGACGCUAAUACCGCAUACGUCCUACGGGAGAAAGUGGGGGAUCUUCGGACCUCACGCUAUCAGAUGAGCCUAGGUCGGAUUAGCUAGUUGGUGAGGUAAUGGCUCACCAAGGCGACGAUCCGUAACUGGUCUGAGAGGAUGAUCAGUCACACUGGAACUGAGACACGGUCCAGACUCCUACGGGAGGCAGCAGUGGGGAAUAUUGGACAAUGGGCGAAAGCCUGAUCCAGCCAUGCCGCGUGUGUGAAGAAGGUCUUCGGAUUGUAAAGCACUUUAAGUUGGGAGGAAGGGCACUAACCUAAUACGUUGGUGUUUUGACGUUACCGACAGAAUAAGCACCGGCUAACUCUGUGCCAGCAGCCGCGGUAAUACAGAGGGUGCAAGCGUUAAUCGGAAUUACUGGGCGUAAAGCGCGCGUAGGUGGUUUGUUAAGUUGGAUGUGAAAUCCCCGGGCUCAACCUGGGAACUGCAUCCAAAACUGGCAAGCUAGAGUAGGGCAGAGGGUGGUGGAAUUUCCUGUGUAGCGGUGAAAUGCGUAGAUAUAGGAAGGAACACCAGUGGCGAAGGCGACCACCUGGGCUCAUACUGACACUGAGGUGCGAAAGCGUGGGGAGCAAAC
This 745-nucleotide ribosomal RNA is filed under the name uncultured bacterium. Its description in RNAcentral is "bacterial SSU rRNA". It matches the Rfam family "Bacterial small subunit ribosomal RNA", at positions 33 to 773 of the family's 1533-position model. The record is from RNAcentral.